This 414-nucleotide ribosomal RNA is filed under the name uncultured bacterium. Its description in RNAcentral is "bacterial SSU rRNA". It matches the Rfam family "Bacterial small subunit ribosomal RNA", at positions 917 to 1333 of the family's 1533-position model. The record is from RNAcentral.
GGGCCCGCACAAGCGGUGGAGUAUGUGGUUUAAUUCGAUGCAACGCGAAGAACCUUACCAGGGUUUGACAUCCUGCGAAUCUCUUGGAAACGAGAGAGUGCCUUCGGGAACGCAGUGACAGGUGGUGCAUGGCUGUCGUCAGCUCGUGUCGUGAGAUGUUGGGUUAAGUCCCGCAACGAGCGCAACCCACGUCUUUAGUUGCCAGCAUUUAGUUGGGCACUCUAGAGAGACCGCCGGUGAUAAACCGGAGGAAGGUGUGGAUGACGUCAAGUCAUCAUGCCCCUUACAUCCUGGGCUACACACGUACUACAAUGCUACGGACAAAGGGCAGCAAGUUCGCGAGGACAAGCAAAUCCCAAAAAGCCAUCUCAGUUCGGAUUGGGGUCUGCAACUCGACCCCAUGAAGUCGGAAUC